RNAcentral lists this ribosomal RNA (253 nucleotides) under uncultured bacterium. RNAcentral's name for it is "partial 16S ribosomal RNA". It matches the Rfam family "Bacterial small subunit ribosomal RNA", at positions 524 to 776 of the family's 1533-position model. The record is from RNAcentral.
UACGUAGGGUGCGAGCGUUAUUCGGAAUUACUGGGCGUAAAGCGUGCGCAGGCGGUUUUGUAAGCCAGAUGUGAAAUCCCCGGGCUUAACCUGGGAAUGGCAUUUGAGGCUGCAAGGCUGGAGUUUGGCAGAGGAGACUGGAAUUCCCGGUGUAGCAGUGAAAUGCGUAGAUAUCGGGAGGAAUACCGAUGGCGAAGGCAGGUCUCUGGGCUAUAACUGACGCUCAUGCACGAAAGCGUGGGGAGCAAACAGG